AAAUAUUCUGAACAAAUUAUGUGUUUCGAAUGUAUCAAAACUGUUGUAUGAGGAUGAUACUUCGUUUCUUGACCCUUCAAUUCUGCUGUCCUCGGACUUCAAGGCUUGAUCGAUUGUCUUUUAAUCGUCCAACUCCAUCCGUAGAGACUUGAAUGAAGAGCGAGAGAGGAAAGCAGAAUUGGGAUUAAGAGGGUAUUCGAAGGAGAUGGUAGCGAACUCUUGGAAUGCAGCACUGCCCUGGACUUGACCGAAGCGCAGGGGUGCGGAUCUUGUUCCGAAAAGCUGCUGCAUUGGGAGGAUUGAGGCAGAAUCAGGCAGCCAAGGCAUCAGUAGAUUUCUUCAGAGUGGAAUCCACACUCCGAAUCGGUCGACUCGGCGCGCACCCACCUUUGAAAUGACGAAAUAUAGUGACGGGGAUCGUAACAGAUUAUGAGGUCAUUUUAGGUGUAGAAAUCUAUGUAGAGUUUGGGAUGACCGUUAAAGCAGUGAGUCAAACUCAAAAGUCUGCCUUGUUUGUACGGGUCCUCCUAUUAAUACUUUGAGUCUUACACAAGUUAGUGGUGGAGGCUGCUGUGAAUCUGGGACUCACUCUACGAACAGAUGUCAUAUUGGAGUUUUAGUGCGACAGAAAGCAUUACUUUCACCCUCAUUUGGCAAAGGGUUACCAGAUCUCGCAAUUUGAUAUUCCCGUCGUUGAGAAUAGCUAAAUGCAUAUAUCCUUUCUUGGGGAAUUUGUCAGUGGCCAGUGCUGGUUAGGAAUUACCUGGGUCCGUCUGGAAGUAACCAUUGGCAAAUUGACUCCCGCAGUUUAUAACAGGCUUUUCGGAUUCUUCUCGUCACGGGUGAUCUCGGAGUCGGAGGUGCGAACUGGACUUGAGGCAGCUGAGUAUGCGCAGAAUGACAGUUGAUUGUAUGACACUUGGGUGUCAGCAAUAGUAACAUCCAGGAGUUUUGCCAAAUCUUAUCCAGAAACAGGGAUCAAUGUGCUGCAAUGUCAAUAUUUCUAUGCAACCGAGGGGUUGACCCCAAUUUGGAACCGAGGUUUUGCCAAGUUUUAUCGAGAAGGAAGCUGUGCAAACGAAAUAGUAGAAUCAGAGAGUCUCGGCCAGGGACUUUCUGAAGAUGAGCAGUUCAUUCCUUUCCCAAGACGUUUCUGUCUAGCAUGAGCUCCUUCAAAUAGUUAAUAUCUUUCUGCGCUGCAUUGUUGCAUUCUACACAUGCCAGGCAAUGAAGGCAUCGAGUGUAAGAGUGAACCCAGGUCUAAUCAACAAUUUCCUGCUGCCUAAGCUGAACGGCUAGUGCUUUUUCAGCAUGUUCUCUUGUGAUUUUGAAUCAAGGACCAUUUUGUAACUGGCAACAGCAAUGCACACCGCAUUCUCUAAGCGAGCAGUGGAUUUCUAUUCAAGAGGUAUGUUCCACCUGCAUUACUCUUGGAUAUUUGACUCGGGCACUAUUCAAAGGUUUUGCGACAGGUUGGUGGAUAUCAAGCAGCAUGAUUUGUAAGAAUUUGCUCCAAUUGACCUUCGAGAACCACGAGGACUUGAAAUUGAAGUGAGUCCCAGCUCUACUCUGCAAAAACUUACCGGGUUUCUGCUCAUUUCAUCUAUGAAGUCAAAAUUUCCAUAUGUUGUGGCUAUUUGACACCUUGGAUCACGAAGCAUUAACUACCAAUGGGAGUAGGGUUUCCUUUCAAAUCUGGAAGGUCAUACGACAUCAAGCACCAAUAUGAGAGCGCUCCUGUUCCUAUUUGGAAUAUCCCUCAGAUUGUUCCUGUGCUUCAACGUUAGCUCACCUCAUUAAAUUUUGAAGGAUAGAAGCAUAUCAACGUAUGUUCCAGAAUUGAAGAGAGGGUCCACAUCCGAUGGCAGUUGAUGUUAUACAUUUCUGAAUUCUGUAUUAUAUUGGUUGAUUCAUAGUCAACCGGGUCUUGCUGAAAUCAUCCAGGUCUGUGGGAAGGUUCUACAUCUAUCAUUUUCAUGAAUAUGAUAUAGUCUUAAUUUAUUUUAUAAAACCAUAGCAGAUUGUAUUAUCCGCAUGAUCGAUUGGCAGUCUUUGACCUUUUCCACAUCUUGUUACUUUCAUAGUAGUCACACUUGAACUUUAUGUACUUGUCCAUGCAAUGAUGAUUCAGUGGUUUUACGUGAUUGAUGUUAAUAAAUUAUUAUUUUUGGAAGUCUAUCAGCUUAUCGCACUUGUGUAUUGAUACGACUAAUUCUUUGUCCUAGUCGGGUUCUGCAGAGUGGACGAUUAUUCGGAUAUGAUUCCAAGCCUUCUAAUCGCUUAAUCAUUUCAAGCAGUUGCUAUACAGGGGUGAAGUCGCUUGUAGAACCCUAAUCCACAAGAAUCCUGUAGUGGUGCUAGCAUGCACAGUAUCAAUUUGAUUAUUCUGCGCAGCUCAACCAGUUCGCCGCGAGAAUAAAGCAUCCUAUGAGAUCUAUACAACUGGAAUCGUGAUAGAUGAGAUACUCGGCAUUCACCUCCUUUCUCCAAAUUGACUAUUCUCUUUCCACCUUUAUCUGCUACUCAGUGUUAGACAGCUGAUGGACAAUUUUAUGAUAAUAUCUGGACUAAGGCUGCCUCAUGAGAUUGCACCUCGCUCCACCACGAAAGCAGAUGCAACCAAUAUCCUAUGUGGGCGGUCUCUAUGCACCUCCUCCUGAUGGAAAAUGUCUGAGCUUCUGACACAUCGACCCGAACUAAAGAGUCUAAUUCGCCUGUUAACCAAGCAGCGCCUUCGCCUUUUUGAAGAAUUUGACACAUUCUAUGACCACGUCCUGUUGCCGACCAUCUUACUGUUCACACUCAAGUGGAGAACUUGACCAUAUCUCGUCUCAUUGGGCUUGCUUGUUUUCUUGCAGGGCUAGAAACGUCGAAAAUGGGAAGAAAACUUCGCGUCCUCACGCUUAUGUGUUGCUCAGCACGUUGUGGAGAGCGGAAACAUUCUUUUGCGCCAAAUCGCCCUUACUGGCUGAGCAAUUGUGGAGAUGAGUGCAGGAGACAUAGGGUAUGGAUUUAAGCCUCUGAAAAGUCAGCAUCUGAGUAGACGCAGGGUCAGGUCAGUCGCCCAAGCGGUCAGAAAGGCCGACAUAAACCUUCUUAGAUCACAGGCCAUGCACUCACCCAUACCUUGGCCCAUUGUGAAGACCUGUCUUGCACCUAUUCCAUUAACUGCUGGAUUGUGUCAAAGUAGCUGAGAAUGGGUCCAGCUCAGGGGGGCUCCGCAGCAGCAGCAGCAGCAGUAGGCAGCACACUACUGUCUGUUCAAGUGUUCAAACGCCUAUACUCUUUAGUGUCGCUGAAAAGUUCAGUAAAUGCUCCAGAUAGCUGUAAACAAUUUUGCCCUGUCUA
Molecule: RNA transcript, 3348 nt
Organism: Physcomitrium patens
Lineage: Eukaryota; Viridiplantae; Streptophyta; Bryopsida; Funariales; Funariaceae
Source: RefSeq, a predicted model, not a curated record